RNAcentral lists this ribosomal RNA (1400 nucleotides) under uncultured bacterium. RNAcentral's name for it is "16S ribosomal RNA". It matches the Rfam family "Bacterial small subunit ribosomal RNA". The record is from RNAcentral.
UUCGCCCUUAAAAUUUUAUCCUGGCUCAAGACGAACGCUGGCGGCGUGCCUAACACAUGCAAAUUGAAAGAAACUUGAUUUUUGAUUUUUCUGGAAAGAUAGAUUAUAUGACUGAAUGGCCGACCGGUGAAUUACGCCUUAACCACCUUCCCUUUGGAAGGGGAUAAUGUUCGGAAAAGGACCAUAAAUCCGCAUAUAAAUAUAUUUUCCGCAAACACAGUAUAUCAAAACUUAAGGUCCCAAGGAAUGGCCUCCCUUGGAUUAAAAUAUUGGGUGGGUUACCGCCUUCCCAAUUCACCAAUCCAUACCCGACUUAAGAGGUUAACCGUUCCCAUUGGAAUUAACACACGCCCCAAAUUCUUCCGGAAGCCACCAGUGGGAAAUAUUCCCCAAUGGGGGAACCCUUAACGCACCAACCCCGCGUAAAGGAAGACGUUUUUCGAAUUGUAAACUUCUGUUCUUAGUGAAGAAGAAUGACGGUAGUUAAGGACCAACCCACGGCUAACUACGUCCCACCACCCGCGGUAAUACGUAGGUGCCAAGCGUUGUCCGGAAUUACUGGGUGUAAAGGGAGCGCAGGCGGGAAGCCAAUUCAGCUGUGAAAACUACGGGCUUAACUUGUAGACUGCAGUUGAAACUGGUUUUCUUGAGUGAAGUAGAGGUUGGCGGAAUUCCGAGUGUAGCGGUGAAAUGCGUAGAUAUUCGGAGGAACACCGGUGGCGAAGGCGGCCAACUGGGCUUUAACUGACGCUGAGGCUCGAAAGUGUGGGGAGCAAACAGGAUUAGAUACCCUGGUAGUCCACACUGUAAACGAUGAUAACUAGGUGUGGGGGGUCUGACCCCUUCCGUGCCGCAGCUAACGCAAUAAGUUAUCCACCUGGGGAGUACGACCGCAAGGUUGAAACGCAAAGGAAUUGACGGGGACCCGCACAAGCAGUGGAUUAUGUGGUUUAAUUCGAAGCAACGCGAAGAACCUUACCAGCACUUGACAUCCAACUAACGAAAUAGAGAUAUAUUAGGUGCCCUUCGGGGAAAGUUGAGACAGGUGGUGCAUGGUUGUCGUCAGCUCGUGUCGUGAGAUGUUGGGUUAAGUCCCGCAACGAGCGCAACCCCUGCCAUUAGUUGCUACGCAAGAGCACUCUAAUGGGACCGCUACCGACAAGGUGGAGGAAGGUGGGGACGACGUCAAAUCAUCAUGCCCCUUAUGUGCUGGGCUACACACGUAAUACAAUGGCGCCGACAGAGGGAUGCGAAGCGGCGACGCGGAGCGAACCCCAAAAACGGCGCCCCAGUUCGGAUUGUAGUCUGCAACCCGACUACAUGAAGCCGGAAUCGCUAGUAAUCGCGGAUCAGAACGCCGCGGUGAAUACGUUCCCGGGUCUUGCACUCAGGGCCCGUCA